Small nucleolar RNA from Jaculus jaculus (lesser Egyptian jerboa), 134 nucleotides. The record is from RefSeq and is a predicted model, not a curated record. NCBI's taxonomy places the organism in Eukaryota, Metazoa, Chordata, Mammalia, Rodentia, Dipodidae.
AGUGGCCCCCAUUGAAGUGGGAGCUGCUUCCACAUAGCCGCUGUGGUCAGAAAGGAGCCCAGAGUAACUUGUUCCUUGACGGUAGCGGUCCUGUUUGCUAUAACAGUUCUGCAACGUUUUGGGGAAAGACAGGU